AACCGGUGAGACAGGUGCUGCAUGGCUGUCGUCAGCUCGUGUUGUGAAAUGUUGGGUUAAGUCCCGCAACGAGCGCAACCCCUAUUGUUAGUUGCCAUCAUUCAGUUGGGCACUCUAGCGAGACUGCCGGUAAUAAACCGGAGGAAGUGGGGAUGACGUCAAAUCAUCAUGCCCCUUAUGACCUGGGCUACACACGUGCUACAAUGGUUGGUACAACGAGUUGCGAGUCGGUGACGGCGAGUUAAUCUCUUAAAGCCAAUCUCAGUUCGGAUUGUAGGCUGCAACUCGCCUACAUGAAGUCGGAAUCGCUAGUAAUCGCGGAUCAGCACGCCGCGGUGAAUACGUUCCCGGGCCUU
This 356-nucleotide ribosomal RNA is filed under the name uncultured Streptococcus sp. Its description in RNAcentral is "bacterial SSU rRNA". It matches the Rfam family "Bacterial small subunit ribosomal RNA", at positions 1024 to 1382 of the family's 1533-position model. Lineage: Bacteria; Bacillati; Bacillota; Bacilli; Lactobacillales; Streptococcaceae. The record is from RNAcentral.